Long non-coding RNA from Protopterus annectens (West African lungfish), 1326 nucleotides. RefSeq lists it as uncharacterized. Lineage: Eukaryota; Metazoa; Chordata; Ceratodontiformes; Protopteridae. The record is from RefSeq and is a predicted model, not a curated record. The transcript has 4 exons.
GAAAGCCUGAAUACAGAAGCACUUUCAGGGGUCUCUUGAAUCGGUCAUUGCUGAGUCUCAUUCUAAUCUGAUGAGUUACUGAUUUCCAAAGGAGCAGAAGCAUUAAAGGAGAAGUUUCUGAAUGCAUCCUGGCAAGCAGUAACACUUCAUCAGAAGUGCAGUGAAGGACAUGGACUAACCCAGCUCUUUAAGUCUGACUUCAUUAACAGGAAGCUGCAUUCAAAAAUUCCAGUUUUCCCUGAAACCACAGCAAAAAAGUUCAGAAGUAUCUGAAACGCAAGAAUGAAGAAACGAUUCCUUCGUCAAUUUAGAAAUGAACACUGAGGCAUAGUGCGGGGACCACCCACAGGAGAAUUUCAACUUGCUAAAAGACUAGGAAACCACAAAAUGACCUGGAGCAGGAAGACUAUAUGCACCGCUGUUCUAUCCCCUUCUGCAAAACUUCCGUUGUGGGAGCUUGUUUGGCUGCAAGGUAUAUUAGCCACAAAAAAAAUCAUGUCAGUGAAAAUUUGAAGAUCCUCAGUCCUCCCAUUUUAUGACAUAAACUUUAUGUCAGUUUAAAAGACUCGCUAUGGGUUCUCCUUGUUUUACUGAGGUACCAGUUCUUUUAACCUGCAUACUGUUGUUUAAUGAUAACAUUCUCUUCAAUAAAGAAAACAGUCAUACAAAAUAAGGAAAAUAAAUUAUUGAACAUUUUUAUGUACAAGCCAGCAGCUAAGUGUUAACAUUCUUUAUUUCAUGAUCAUUUUUUUUCUUUUAAAUGUUUAAUUUCAACUGGAUGAAAUAGUAGGAAAACCACAAGAUGUUCUGCAUCUGGAAGAUUAUGUGUGCACCCAAUAUAAACUCUUCUGUGUUUUGUAAAAGUAAAAUUGUCUUCUUGAAAUUACUUUCAUUGCUGUUAACGCCUUUGUAACAGUUUUUUAGGCUAUGUUGUCUCUGUCCGAAUGGUUUUGCUUAACUGGACUGGAGUGCACUUUCAUUUGUCCAGUCAAGAAAAGAUGUAUGCCUUUUAAAAACAAAUGCAGGAAAGUUAUUUUCAUUGUUGUAUUUCACCAUUGGGCCAGGGCCAUGGCUGAAAAGAUAACAACUAAAGCACUGAAGAGUAGGUGUUGUAGUCUGAAAGUAACUACCACUUUUAUCUUUUUCGGACCCAGAGUAGAAAGCACUGAGCUCUUUUUUAGAAUGGAAGUAUGCUUCUCUGCAUUUUUUUCUUUUUUAAUUUUUUGUGCCAGUUGUGUUCACACUAAGAAGCAUAAAUCACUGGUGUAAAAUUUUAUUUGUUGUGUCAUUUUUCAUUUAGACUUGUAACUAUUUUGUAUAAAACAC